This 459-nucleotide long non-coding RNA is filed under the name Micromonas commoda. RNAcentral describes it as "long non-coding RNA (MCOM_LNC000191)". Lineage: Eukaryota; Viridiplantae; Chlorophyta; Mamiellophyceae; Mamiellales; Mamiellaceae. The record is from RNAcentral.
CGGGCUCGACGUGUACCACACGUUCACGCCCGGGGCCUCGUACCCGGGCGCGCUCACCGUCCUCAGACCCUUGGACUUCAUCAUGUCGCGGCACUCGUUCCCGAGGUCCCACGCCAUCUGCUUCGCCUUGCCAAACCCGAGCUCCUUCGUCUCCAGCGCCGCGUCUCGAAAGAGGUUCAGCGCGUCGGUGGGCAUGGUGGUGUAGUAGGCGAACCCCCCGGCGUUGUACGAGUCCAUCACCUCGAGCCAUUUCCUCAUGUUGAUCACCAUGGACGUGGACGUGGUGUUGCGCGUCGCGUAGUCGCCUCGUUCGCUGAGCAUCAUGAGCGAAGAGCACGCGGGACCCGUCCACCCUUUCUGCGGCGCCGAGAGGAUGGCGUCGACGCCCGUCGCCUUCAUGUCCACCCACACGGUACCGGACGCGAUGCAGUCGAGGACGAAGAGCCCACCGUGCGCGUG